RNAcentral lists this small RNA (180 nucleotides) under Arabidopsis thaliana (thale cress). RNAcentral's name for it is "ATSL171560". Lineage: Eukaryota; Viridiplantae; Streptophyta; Magnoliopsida; Brassicales; Brassicaceae. The record is from RNAcentral.
AAUCUUUCACAUACUUCUUUCCUACGAUGUCUCUUUCCAUCCUCUUAUGAUUUUGUUUAAGCAGUACAUGUCAUACAUUCCAAACUUUUCACAUGCUCCAUAUAUGUUCUUUGAAAUCCCUUCCUUUUCUUAUUAGUAAAAGUCUUUUUCAAGCUCGUCGAGAGGUACCUUAGUUAAGUC